AGCCUGCAGUCGCCCUGCGCGCCUCCCCGCGAGGAGUGUUUUCUAGCGCCUCUGAUGGGCGGACUCCUGCAGGCCUGUUGUGAGCCUGAGGUUCCUUCUCACAGCUGGGUCUAAGGUCUGAAUGCCGCGCCCUCAGGAGAGCCACAGAUGGGUCUCCGCUGAUGCUUGUCUCAAUUUCCUCUGAGCGGGAGAGCUCCGGGAAAGGAGCCGAUCCUGGUGGUAGACUACAGAUCUGAGUCCACGGGACGAAAAACGAGGCUCCUUGGAUUAGAGACCAUCCUGAGGACAUCUUUGGGAGUCAUGUGCUGAAGUUGGCCAAGCCACAGGAUGAAAGGAGCUGUAUCUUUGAGUCAGCACUGGAGAAAGGUCUCUCUAAAUGGAUUUGCAGAGAAGUCUUCUCAAAUAUUCCCCCUCUAAGUUCCA
This is a long non-coding RNA of Macaca mulatta (Rhesus monkey), 423 nucleotides long. RefSeq lists it as uncharacterized. The record is from RefSeq and is a predicted model, not a curated record. NCBI's taxonomy places the organism in Eukaryota, Metazoa, Chordata, Mammalia, Primates, Cercopithecidae.